GGAUGGUUCUGGGACGUUGCAGUGUUGAUCCAACGGCUUGAGAGAUUUUCUGGACUUGAUUUAAGUCUGAUUAGGAGUUCUAAUCGUGAUCUAACUUGAUUUAAGGCUUUUAAAAAAGCCUCAUGCUCAACAAAGAAAGCUGUGUGUGUGGCGUGUUUUUCCGUGCGGUGCGAAGAUCAGAGAUCCGAGAAGAGAGAGAGCCGCGUGACG
Molecule: long non-coding RNA, 210 nt
Filed under: Elaeis guineensis (African oil palm)
Lineage: Eukaryota; Viridiplantae; Streptophyta; Magnoliopsida; Arecales; Arecaceae
Description: long non-coding RNA (EGUI_LNC040166)
Source: RNAcentral